CAGUCUCUCCCCACCUCUUUCCGCCUCUCCUCUCCCUCCCUUGCUCUGGCAGUGGGAAGAAGAUGAAAGAGAAGCCGCCGCAGCUGUGAUCGACACCACAGUGAUAGAUGCUCUGACAGAGGGGAUGAGGCGGGAAUCGGGGACACAGAGAAGGGAAAGGGGAAACAUAACACAUUGCUCAACUAAUGAGAGAACGGAAGCAAGAAGAACAAGAAAGAGUUGUGGCUUUCCUAAAUACAUGUAAAAGGACAAGGGAACACAUGCUAACAAAAAUAAAACCUCCAGACUUAACGAGAAAAAUAGGAGGAAGAAAAAACCGAAGACUGAAUCGUAAUUAUCGCUUUUUAAGCAAGAUCUUUUUCAUUACAUCCUCACCAUAGGAUGCUCACACACAGUUACACUAGGUCGCUCGUGUAUUUUCGAAGAUACAUGCCACAAUGUGUGGGAACCUCAUAAAGAACGAAAAAAACCACCCAAGUUGGGGGAGGGGAGGCAAAAGGACCCAGGAGAGUGAAGCCGGUAGAAGGAGGGAGGACAGGGCAGUCUCUGGCACCUCAGACUUUGGGCUCAAAGAGACCCUUGAAGAUGCAAAUCCAAAUUCAACCUCAAAAAUUUCCCAGCCUCCACUGUCUCUUUGAUGCAUUUUGUACAAGGACAGGACUUUUAAGGAGAUGCUUUGUGAAAGUUACAGUAUAAACGAAGCUGAAGUUUGAAAACAUCACAUUUUGUUCCUUGGCUCUCAAACUCCCUCAGUUAAAAAUCCAGGCAAAAUUAUUAUACCCAAUACAGUAGCCAUCUGUAAAACCUCAGAACAGUAAACAAGAGACAGGAAGAAAUGUGUCUCCAUCUCCCUUAAAUUGAAAAUGGGGAAAACAUUACAGAAUCAGACUUUAGCUCUGUUAUAUAGGAAUAGGCAUGUAAAGAUCCCUCUUCUUUUGUGUAAGGGAGAAAUUGCAUGCUGCUAGACAUCGUAUAAGUAAAGAUGUUAACAAUGCUCUAAACGAGCACUCAAAAUAUCGCUUAUUGGUAAUUACUUGAGAUGGGAAUCCACUAGGAAACAAUUUUUAAAACUAUCAUUUAAAGCAUUCAGUUGGUCUCAUAGAGCAUGGCCAGUAGUCACAGGGAAAAUUUCUGUCUCAGGUUCUGUUCAGUUCAGUCGCUCAGUCGUGUCCCACUCCUUGUGUCUCAGGUUAGGGUAACAUUAAAGGGCUGGUGAUGGGAGCCAGAGAGAGUAAAGCAUUAAAUCCUCUGCAAAUAGGUGAGAAUGCUAUGCCUUAAAGAAUAUUUUCUACAAUGUGUAAGGCAAUACUAAAAAGAUGGGGGGAAACCCAAUUUUACUUUUUGGUUGGUAACAUGCAACUUCACUAGGCACCGGUGAGUGUGAUGUCUCAGAGAUGUGAACAUGUAGCUAUGUCAGACAUUUAUUCCCUCUGUUUUGGAGAAGGAAAUGGCAACUCACUCCAGUAUUCUUGCCUGGGAAAUCCCAUGGACAGAGGAGCCUGGAAGGCUACAGUCAAUGGGGUCUCAGAGUCAGACACGACUUAGUGACUGAGCACACAUACCCUCUGUUCUAAAAGAAAUAUGGGAAAACAAAGUAAAAAGUCCUCCCAUAAAUGCGCCAAUUCGACGGACAGGAAAAGAACUGGAAAAUGCAGUUUCACCAAAACAGCCAGAGUAGAGAUUCCUUUUCAUCAGACUGUCAAGGGGUGGGGGUGGGGGGAUUUUCUGGAAGCCAAAGAGAUUAAAUGACGGCUCCUACAUCUGCCCCCCUCCCCGUUAAAGUGUCGCAACUAAUUCGAAUCCCAUUUACUCCUUCAUGUUAAUUAUCUGGACUCCCUGAGUCAUUUGGAGCUCAGCUCCAGGUGUCCUGGAGAUUAAGAGCUCGAGAAGAUGGGAAUUGGGGGAACAGUAACUAGUGGGAACUGUUUGCUAUAAGGGCUGAGGGUAGGUGGCUGCGUUUUGCAUUUUGCGGCAAACCUCACCUUUGGAAACACUGUUUCUAACGAAAUCACCCAGCGUCUUACUCUAUUUGCGUGACUGUUUUCCCUCCCCGUGGCGUGCGGGGUGUUUCGUUCGCUGAUUGUCCUUAGCAUUGUUGCAAGUCUUCUGACAAGGUGCAUUUAAAAGGGGCUUUUCUAGAAAGCAUUCAUUCAAGUUUUUUUUUUUUUAAAGCUUUGUCUGGGAGGGAGAUGGACAUUUCCACGCGAAGUCUGUCUCUUCAGGGAGAAAAGCUGGGAGACACUGGACGGGCGAGGCAACCCCGGGGAAGGCGUUCCUUCCCUCCUUUACAGGUUCAGUGAACUUCCUGGCAAAGGUAUUUGUGUCGCGGAGAGGUCUCUUCUAAUUCGUGUGGGGCUGCUAGUAACAUACACAGCCGCCUUUUGGGGCGCAAGGUCCGGGACCUGGUGGGUGUUGCGAGCGCGAGACACCGCCGCCCCCUUCUCUCGGAUGUAGAGGCAGGUUGUUCGUGUGAACUCGAGCGAACGACUGAAGGUUAGCUGUUGCAGGUUCACUCCUUCAGGAUGUGGGUUUCAGGGGGCGUUUUGAUGUGAUUUAAUUCCGACCGUGAAACAAUUGCUAAGGACUGGAUUGCUGUUGGUUUUUCCCCUUUUGGUGGCUUUGGUUGGUUGGGGUUUACAUUGGGAGCGAACUGUGACUUGUUUUAUAGCAACACUUCCUUCUAAGCCGGGCGCCGACGCCCGCGCUGUGCGUGGGGGGCGAAGCGCCCACCCUGCGCCGGAACAGGGAGAGAGGGGGGCUGCAAAGACGGUUCUCGAAGUCGGCAGGGUGCAUACAGCCCAGCCCCCCGCGGGUGCGGACAGGGGGACUAGACUGACCCCCACCCACACCAGAGACCCCUCCUACCUGUGGGGGGAAGGGGUCGCUGCCAAGUCAAGUCAGCUGCAGACACGCCAAUGAGUACUUAAUUACAGGGAAGAGAGAAAAGCGCGGUGCCCUUCAGAGCCCUCUCCGCCUCCUCAGCCCUAAGUCCCCGCCCGGGCUCCGGGUCUCCCCCUUUGUGUGGCCUGGACUCUCUCCCAGCGACAACUUUGGUGGGAUCCCAGAGGAAGGAGGUGGCCGGAGGAGGGGGUACGGAAAAGGAUGCUGGAAGAGAGAGACGCGAGCGUGAAGGACUAGAAAAACGAAUAAUGUGAUUCCAGGGACGGAACACCAACACCCCUCCAUUUCCCACCCCGGCGUCACCAGGGGACUAAAACUGUGGGCAUCUUCAGUUUAACGGACUUUUCGGAAAGCUGGGGCGGGAAAUGGCAGUUUGUGUCCCAGGGGUUCUUCCG
Bos grunniens (domestic yak) is the source of this 3296-nucleotide long non-coding RNA. The record is from Ensembl. NCBI's taxonomy places the organism in Eukaryota, Metazoa, Chordata, Mammalia, Artiodactyla, Bovidae.